Molecule: ribosomal RNA, 206 nt
Filed under: uncultured bacterium
Lineage: Bacteria
Description: partial 16S ribosomal RNA
Rfam family: Bacterial small subunit ribosomal RNA
Source: RNAcentral
CUCAGUUCGGAUCGGAGUCUGNAACCCGACUCCGUGAAGCUGGAUUCGCUAGUAAUCGCGCAUCAACCAUGGCGCGGUGAAUACGUUCCCGGGCCUUGUACACACCGCCCGUCAAGCCAUGGGAGCCGGGAGUGCCUGAAGGCCGUGACCGCAAGGAGCGGCCUAAGGUAAAACUGGUGACUGGGGCUAAGUCGUAACAAGGUACC